RNAcentral lists this long non-coding RNA (1523 nucleotides) under Zonotrichia albicollis (white-throated sparrow). Its description in RNAcentral is "lncRNA (ENSZALG00000009797.1)". Lineage: Eukaryota; Metazoa; Chordata; Aves; Passeriformes; Passerellidae. The record is from RNAcentral.
UCCUGAAAAUUCCAGCUCUGCACAUAAACAGCCCCCCAAAAAUUCAGUGUAUUCCUGAAAAUUCCAGCUCUGCACAUAAACAGCCCCCCAAAAAUCAGUGUAUUCCUGAAAAUUCCAGCUCUGCCCUAAACAGCCCCCCAAAAAAUUCAGUGUAUUCCUCAGAAUUUCAGCUCUGCACACAGAGAUCAUCCCCAAAAAAUCAGUGUAUUCCCGAAAAUUCCAGCUCUGCACACAAACAGAGAUCAACCCUCAAAAUUCAGUGUAUUCCUGGAAAUUCCAGCUCUGCACAUAAACAGCCCCCAAAAAUUCAGUGUAUUCCUGGAAAUUCCAGCUCUGCCCUAAACAGCUCCCAAAAAAUCAGUGUAUCCCUGAAAAUUCCAACUCUACAGAAAUCAGCCCCAAAAUUCAGUGUAUUCCUGGAAAUUCCAGUUGUGCAGAAAUCAGCCCCAAAAAUCAGUGUAUUCCUGAAAAUUCCAGCUGUUGGAAAAAACACCCAGGAAAUUCUGGUUUGGGUAAGGGAUUAAAUUCUUCCCAAAGUUGCUGGUGAAGGAGGGGAAAACAGCCUGGGGUUGGGCUGUGGAAAUGCCAGAAAAACAAAACAAAAAAUAAAAAAAAAAUUGAAUUAAUGGGAUAAUUGAUUCAAGGUUUUGGGUUGGAAUCGCGGAAUUGUUGAAUCACGGAGUUGUUGGGGCUGGAAAAGAAAUUUAAAUCAACAAAUGCAGCGGUGAAAGCAGGGCUGGUGUCCAGCACUCACUGAUGGCUCCGUUCCCGUUGCUCCAAACCCUUCCCAGAUCCAUUCCUGGUGCUCCAAACCCUUCCCAGAUCCACUCCUGGUGCUCCAAACCCUUCCCAGAACCAUUCCUGGUCCUCCAAACCCUUCCCAGAUCCAUUUCCACCACUCCAAACCCUUCCCAGAUCCAUUCCUCGUGGUCCAAACCCUUCCAGAUCCAAUCCCACCACUCCAAACCCUUCCCAGCUCCAUUUUUGGUGCUCCAAACCCUUCCCAGAUCCAUUCCUGGUGCUCCAAACCCUUCCCAGAUCCAUUCCUGCUGCUCCAAACCCUUCCCAGAUCCAUUCCUGCUGCUCCAAACCCUUCCCAGAUCCAUUCCUGGUGAUCCAAACCCUUCCCAUUUCCAUUCCUCAUGGUCCAAACCCUUCCCAGAUCCAAUCCCAUCACUCCAAACCCUUCCCAGAUCCAUUUUUGGUGCUCCAAACCCUUCCAGAUCCAUUCCUGGUCCUCCAAACCCUGCCCAGAUCCAUUCCUGCUGCUCCAAACCCUUCUCAGAUCCAAUCCUGGUGAUCCAAACCCUCCCUAGAUCCGUUUCCACCACUCCAAACCCUUCCCAGAUCCAUUCCCACCACUCCAAACCCUUUCCAGAUCCAUUCCUGGUGCUCCAAACCCUUCCCAGAUCCAUUUUUGGUGCUCCAAACCUUUCCCAGAUCCAAUCCCACCACUCCAAACCCUUCCCAGCUCCAUUCCUGGUGCUCCAAACCCUUCCCAGCUCCAUUCCUGGUGAUCCAAA